UGAGCAAUCUGCCCUUCUCUUCGGAAUAAGCGUGGGAAACCGCGUCUAAUGCCGAAUACGACCUCCUUUCGCAUGAUCGGAGGUGGAAAGCUCCGGCGGAGAAGGAUGAGCUCGCGGCCUAUCAGCUAGUUGGUGUGGGUAACGCCCACCAAGGCGACGACGGGUAGCCGGCCUGAGAGGGUGACCGGCCACACGUGGGACUGAGACACGGCCCAGACUCCGUACGGGAGGCAGCAGGG
RNAcentral lists this ribosomal RNA (239 nucleotides) under uncultured bacterium. Its description in RNAcentral is "partial 16S ribosomal RNA". It matches the Rfam family "Bacterial small subunit ribosomal RNA", at positions 118 to 354 of the family's 1533-position model. The record is from RNAcentral.